CCUGGUUGAUCCUGCCAGUAGUCAUAUGCUUGUCUCAAAGAUUAAGCCAUGCAUGUCUAAGUGCAUGCCAAAUUAAGGUGAAACCGCGAAUGGCUCAUUAAAUCAGUUAUGGUUCCUUAGAUCGUACCCACAUUUACUUGGAUAACUGUGGUAAUUCUAGAGCUAAUACAUGCAAACCAGAGUUCCGACCAGAGAUGGAAGGAACGCUUUUAUUAGAUCAAAACCAAUCGGUGGCGGGCUUUGCUCGUCCACCGUUUACUUUGGUGACUCUGAAUAACUUUGUGCUGAUCGCACGGUCUCGUACCGGCGACGCAUCUUUCAAAUGUCUGCCUUAUCAACUGUCGAUGGUAGGUUCUGCGCCUACCAUGGUUGUAACGGGUAACGGGGAAUCAGGGUUCGAUUCCGGAGAGGGAGCCUGAGAAACGGCUACCACAUCCAAGGAAGGCAGCAGGCGCGCAAAUUACCCACUCCCGGCACGGGGAGGUAGUGACGAAAAAUAACGAUACGGGACUCAUCCGAGGCCCCGUAAUCGGAAUGAGUACACUUUAAAUCCUUUAACGAGGAUCAAUUGGAGGGCAAGUCUGGUGCCAGCAGCCGCGGUAAUUCCAGCUCCAAUAGCGUAUAUUAAAGUUGUUGCGGUUAAAAAGCUCGUAGUUGAAUCUGUGUCGCACGCUGUCGGUUCGCCGCUCGCGGGGUUUAACUGACAUGCUCGUGAGACGUCCUACCGGUGGGCUUAGCUCCUUCGGGGGCGGUCCAACUAAUAUCCCAUCGCGGUGCUCUUUAUUGAGUGUCGAGGUGGGCCGGUACGUUUACUUUGAACAAAUUAGAGUGCUUAAAGCAGGCUAUCAUUUGCCUGAAUAUUCUGUGCAUGGAAUAAUGGAAUAGGACCUCGGUUCUAUUUUGUUGGUUUUAAGAAACCCGAGGUAAUGAUUAAUAGGGACAGAUGGGGGCAUUCGUAUUGCGACGUUAGAGGUGAAAUUCUUGGAUCGUCGCAAGACGGACAGAAGCGAAAGCAUUUGCCAAAAAUGUUUUCAUUAAUCAAGAACGAAAGUUAGAGGUUCGAAGGCGAUCAGAUACCGCCCUAGUUCUAACCAUAAACGAUGCCAGCUAGCGAUCCGCCGAAGUUCCUCCGAUGACUCGGCGGGCAGCUUCCGGGAAACCAAAGCUUUUGGGUUCCGGGGGAAGUAUGGUUGCAAAGCUGAAACUUAAAGGAAUUGACGGAAGGGCACCACCAGGAGUGGAGCCUGCGGCUUAAUUUGACUCAAUACGGGAAACCUCACCAGGCCCGGACACCGGAAGGAUUGACAGAUUGAGAGCUCUUUCUUGAUUCGGUGGGUGGUGGUGCAUGGCCGUUCUUAGUUGGUGGAGCGAUUUGUCUGGUUAAUUCCGAUAACGAACGAGACUCUAGCCUGCUAAAUAGGCGUACCUUAUGGUAUCUUGAAGGCCCCCGGCUUCGGUCGGUG
This 1463-nucleotide ribosomal RNA is filed under the name Leptopilina clavipes. RNAcentral describes it as "SSU rRNA". It matches the Rfam family "Eukaryotic small subunit ribosomal RNA", at positions 3 to 1401 of the family's 1831-position model. The record is from RNAcentral. Lineage: Eukaryota; Metazoa; Arthropoda; Insecta; Hymenoptera; Figitidae.